GAUGAAGAACGCAGCGAAAUGCGAUAAGUAAUGUGAAUUGCAGAAUUCAGUGAAUCAUCGAAUCUUUGAACGCACCUUGCGCUCCUUGGUAUUCCGAGGAGCAUGCCUGUUUGAGUGUCAUGAAAUUCUCAACCUUUUCAGCUUUCUUUGUUGAUCAGGCUUGGAUGUGGGAGUAUGCGGGCUUCUCAGAAGUCGGCUCUCCUGAAAUGCAUUAGCGGGACCUUUGUUGCCCGGCUUUGGUGUGAUAAUUAUCUACGCCAUUGUAGUCAAGCAGCUUAAAAUGAGGUUUCAGCUUCUAACCGUCUCCCCUGAGACAACUUUUUGACAAUUUGACCUCAAAUCAGGUAGGACUACCCGCUGAACUUAAGCAUAUCAAUAAGCGGAGGA
RNAcentral lists this unclassified non-coding RNA (387 nucleotides) under soil metagenome. RNAcentral describes it as "partial contains 5.8S ribosomal RNA, internal transcribed spacer 2, and large subunit ribosomal RNA". The stretch from base 1 to 120 matches the Rfam family "5.8S ribosomal RNA", at positions 35 to 154 of the family's 154-position model. The record is from RNAcentral.